RNAcentral lists this long non-coding RNA (1394 nucleotides) under Capsicum annuum. Its description in RNAcentral is "long non-coding RNA (CANN_LNC001676)". The record is from RNAcentral. Lineage: Eukaryota; Viridiplantae; Streptophyta; Magnoliopsida; Solanales; Solanaceae.
CACCAGUCUCCCUUGCAAAACUACCAAGGCUAUUAAUAGAAUCCAGUGGUAACUUUUUCUGGGGUAAUAUUGCUGAAAAAAAAAAUCCAUUUAGUAGGCUGGGACACUCUUACUCUCCCAAAAGAUAAAGGUGGCCUAGGUAUCCAAAGAAGUGAGCUCCAAAACAAAGCGCAGCAUGCCAUCCUAGCUUGGACAAUGUAUCACAAUACACAAGCUUCCUGAACAAAAUGAUUUACAAUAAGUACUGUAGACCCCAUAACAACAAACAAAGAAGGAAAAUAUCCUCUAAUGUUUGAAAGUGCAUCAAGCAAGGUGGGACAUCUGUCAGAAGAACAUUAGAUGAACCAUUAAUAAGGGGAAUAGAAUUAGGUUUUUCAUGAUAAAUGGAUUCCCAACUUGGAGUCCAUCAGAUCCCAAAUUCAGGGUCCCCUCAACAAAGGUGAAGACUAGCUUAGGGUCCACUCCAUAUGCUCUAAUAGUAAAUGUGACCUUGGUCUUAUAUCCUUCCAAUUGUCGUUGAACUCUCUUGUAUUAUUCAGAACUACUCCAUCCCUAAUCAUACUAAUAGGAAAAUUUCUUGAACAAUACCAAGAAUGGUAAAUUUUUCAUGAAGCUUGCUUACCACUCCAUUGAUGACUCACAGACUCACCAUAGACCUAUAGGAAAAGAUUUCCAGUGGAUUUGACAUCUCAAAGCUCCUAACAAAGUGAAAAUCUUUAUUUGGCUUUUCCAUCACAAGAAACUGCCCACUGAAAGCUACUUCCAUAACAUUGGCUUACCCAUUAAUAACCACUACACUCAAUGCACUAACCAAGAGAAAGAUAUUAAUCACAUAUUUUUUAAAUAUGAAAGCACCACCACAUUUUGGAAUAAGAUGGCCAGCAUUAGUGUCUCUAUCCAAAACUUUGGUUCUACAGCCAUAACAGAUGCUAACUGGCUUGAUACUGGAAGGCUAUCAAGAACAAGCAAUUCAAUAGCUAGCUUACUUGGGAUCACAUCAUUUCCUUCUGCUUGUGGAACAUUUGGCUUAAUAGGAAUAAUAACCUUUUAAACAACAAACACUCUCAGAUCUCUACAGCCCACACUAUAGCCAUUACUACUAAAUUCUACCUCCUUGUGGAUAAUCACCCUUUAGGCAAGAACCUCACCAUUACGAUCCAAGUCAGAUGGAAACCCCCUGAACCUGAAACCUUUAAACUCAACAUAGAUUGAGUUGUUAGGAGACAACCAGGUAAAGGUGGGAUAAGGUGUGUGAUUAGAAACUCAAGAGGUGAUUGGAUAAUAGGUUUCACUAAAGCCUACAGCCACGUCUCAACUCUCUAGGAAAAACUACUGGUCAUCCUAGAAUGCUUAAAACUUGCUUUAGAUAGGAAUCUAACCUCUUUUGUAAUCAA